RNAcentral lists this ribosomal RNA (433 nucleotides) under uncultured bacterium. RNAcentral describes it as "partial 16S ribosomal RNA". It matches the Rfam family "Bacterial small subunit ribosomal RNA", at positions 29 to 507 of the family's 1533-position model. The record is from RNAcentral.
AACGAACGCUGGCGGCAUGCCUAACACAUGCAAGUCGAACGAGGCCUUCGGGUCUAGUGGCGCACGGGUGCGUAACACGUGGGAAUCUGCCCUUUGCUUCGGAAUAACAGUUAGAAAUGACUGCUAAUACCGGAUGAUGUCGAAAGACCAAAGAUUUAUCGGCAAAGGAUGAGCCCGCGUAGGAUUAGGUAGUUGGUGGGGUAAAGGCCUACCAAGCCGACGAUCCUUAGCUGGUCUGAGAGGAUGAUCAGCCACACUGGGACUGAGACACGGCCCAGACUCCUACGGGAGGCAGCAGUGGGGAAUAUUGGACAAUGGGCGAAAGCCUGAUCCAGCAAUGCCGCGUGAGUGAUGAAGGCCUUAGGGUUGUAAAGCUCUUUUACCAGGGAUGAUAAUGACAGUACCUGGAGAAUAAGCUCCGGCUAACUCCGUG